Molecule: ribosomal RNA, 253 nt
Filed under: uncultured bacterium
Lineage: Bacteria
Description: partial 16S ribosomal RNA
Rfam family: Bacterial small subunit ribosomal RNA
Source: RNAcentral
UACGAGGGGAGCAAGCGUUGUUCGGAUUUACUGGGCGUAAAGGGCGCGUAGGCGGCGUGACAAGUCACUUGUGAAAUCUCCGGGCUUAACUCGGAACGGUCAAGUGAUACUGUCGUGCUAGAGUACAGAAGGGGCAACUGGAAUUCUCGGUGUAGCGGUGAAAUGCGUAGAUAUUGGAAAGACCACCAAUGGCGAAGGCACUCUACUGGGCCAUUACUGACACUGAGAGACGAAAGCUAGGGGAGCAAAUGGG